Molecule: non-coding RNA, 81 nt
Organism: Cronartium quercuum f. sp. fusiforme G11
Lineage: Eukaryota; Fungi; Basidiomycota; Pucciniomycetes; Pucciniales; Coleosporiaceae
Source: the annotation of a GenBank genome assembly
GGCCCUGUAGCUCAGUUGGUUAGAGCGCGUGCUUCACAUGGUGAUCGCACGAGGUCCCCGGUUCGAGCCCGGGCAGCGUCA